Molecule: ribosomal RNA, 520 nt
Filed under: uncultured Glomus
Lineage: Eukaryota; Fungi; Glomeromycota; Glomeromycetes; Glomerales; Glomeraceae
Description: SSU rRNA
Rfam family: Eukaryotic small subunit ribosomal RNA
Source: RNAcentral
AGCAGCCGCGGUAAUUCCAGCUCCAAUAGCGUAUAUUAAAGUUGUUGCAGUUAAAAAGCUCGUAGUUGAAUUUCGGGAUCAGUACGCUGGUCGUGCCUUCGGUAUGUACUGGUGUUACUGGUUCCUACCUUCCGACGAACCGUCAUGUCAUUAAUUUGGUGUGGCGGGGAAUCAGGACUGUUACUUUGAAAAAAUUAGAGUGUUUAAAGCAGGCUCGCGCUUGAAUACAUUAGCAUGGAAUAAUGAAAUAGGACGUUCGAUCCUAUUUUGUUGGUUUCUAGGAUUGACGUAAUGAUUAAUAGGGAUAGUUGGGGGCAUUAGUAUUCAAUUGUCAGAGGUGAAAUUCUUGGAUUUAUUGAAGACUAACUACUGCGAAAGCAUUUGCCAAGGAUGUUUUCAUUAAUCAAGAACGAAAGUUAGGGGAUCGAAGACGAUCAGAUACCGUCGUAGUCUUAACCAUAAACUAUGCCGACUAGGGAUCGGAUGAUGUUAAUUUUUAAUGACUCAUUCGGCGCCUUAA